Molecule: ribosomal RNA, 464 nt
Filed under: uncultured bacterium
Lineage: Bacteria
Description: partial 16S ribosomal RNA
Rfam family: Bacterial small subunit ribosomal RNA
Source: RNAcentral
GACGAACGCUGGCGGCGUGCUUAACACAUGCAAGUCGUACGGUAAGGCCCUUUCGGGGGUACACAAGUGGCGAACGGGUGAGUAACACGUGAGUAACCUGCCCACAACUUUGGGAUAACGCUAGGAAACUGGUGCUAAUACUGGAUAUGUGCCCCUGCUGCAUGGUGGGGGUUGGAAAGCUCCGGCGGUUGUGGAUGGACUCGCGGCCUAUCAGCUUGUUGGUGGGGUAGUGGCCUACCAAGGCGGCGACGGGUAGCCGGCCUGAGAGGGUGACCGGCCACAUUGGGACUGAGAUACGGCCCAGACUCCUACGGGAGGCAGCAGUGGGGAAUAUUGCACAAUGGGCGCAAGCCUGAUGCAGCAACGCCGCGUGCGGGAUGACGGCCUUCGGGUUGUAAACCGCUUUCAGCAGGGACGAAGCUUUUUGUGACGGUACCUGCAGAAGAAGCACCGGCUAACUACGU